CCCCUAGAUGUUCUGGGCCGCACGCGCGCUACACUGAACAGUUCAACAAGUCUUAACCUUGGCCGAUAGGUCUGGGUAAUCUUUGAACGCUGUUCGUGAUUGGGAUAGACCUUUGCAAUUAUGGGUCUUCAACGAGGAAUUCCUAGUAAACGCAAGUCAUCAGCUUGCAUUGAUUACGUCCCUGCCCUUUGUACACACCGCCCGUCGCACCUACCGAUUGAAUGGUCCGGUGAAAUCUCGGGACGGCGGCUUGGUCGCUUGCGUCCGACUGCUGAAACUUGAUUAAACCAUAUCAUUUAGAGGAAGGUGAAGUCGUANCC
This 320-nucleotide ribosomal RNA is filed under the name uncultured eukaryote. RNAcentral's name for it is "partial 18S ribosomal RNA". It matches the Rfam family "Eukaryotic small subunit ribosomal RNA", at positions 1470 to 1796 of the family's 1831-position model. The record is from RNAcentral.